RNAcentral lists this ribosomal RNA (235 nucleotides) under uncultured Actinomycetales bacterium. Its description in RNAcentral is "partial 16S ribosomal RNA". It matches the Rfam family "Bacterial small subunit ribosomal RNA", at positions 97 to 334 of the family's 1533-position model. Lineage: Bacteria; Bacillati; Actinomycetota; Actinomycetes; Actinomycetales. The record is from RNAcentral.
GGCGAACGGGUGAGUAACACGUGGGUAAUCUGCCCUGCACUCUGGGAUAAGCCUGGGAAACUGGGUCUAAUACUGGAUAUGACCUUUCUCCUUAUGGGGUUUGGUGGAAAGUUUUUCGGUGUAGGAUGAGCCCGCGGCCUAUCAGCUUGUUGGUGGGGUGAUGGCCUACCAAGGCGACGACGGGAAGCCGGCCUGAGAGGGUGAUCGGCCACAUUGGGACUGAGAUACGGCCCAG